CCCGGGUAAGGCCGCGUCGACAAAGUCUGACCGAGCAACGCCGCGUGAGUGAAGAAGGUUUUCGGAUCGUAAAACUCUGUUUGGUAGAGAAGAACGUUGGUGAGAGUGGAAAGCUCAUCAAGUGACGGUAACUACCCAGAAAGGGACGGCUAACUACGUGCCAGCAGCCGCGGUAAUACGUAGGUCCCGAGCGUUGUCCGGAUUUAUUGGGCGUAAAGCGAGCGCAGGUGGUUUAUUAAGUCUGGUGUAAAAGGCAGUGGCUCAACCAUUGUAUGCAUUGGAAACUGGUAGACUUGAGUGCAGGAGAGGAGAGUGGAAUUCCAUGUGUAGCGGUGAAAUGCGUAGAUAUAUGGAGGAACACCGGUGGCGAAAGCGGCUCUCUGGCCUGUAACUGACACUGAGGCUCGAAAGCGUGGGGAGCAAACAGGAUUAGAUACCCUGGUAGUCCACGCCGUAAACGAUGAGUGCUAGAUGUAGGGAGCUAUAAGUUCUCUGUAUCGCAGCUAACGCAAUAAGCACUCCGCCUGGGGAGUACGACCG
RNAcentral lists this ribosomal RNA (540 nucleotides) under uncultured Lactococcus sp. RNAcentral describes it as "bacterial SSU rRNA". It matches the Rfam family "Bacterial small subunit ribosomal RNA", at positions 354 to 888 of the family's 1533-position model. The record is from RNAcentral. Lineage: Bacteria; Bacillati; Bacillota; Bacilli; Lactobacillales; Streptococcaceae.